Molecule: ribosomal RNA, 253 nt
Filed under: uncultured bacterium
Lineage: Bacteria
Description: partial 16S ribosomal RNA
Rfam family: Bacterial small subunit ribosomal RNA
Source: RNAcentral
UACGAAGGGGGCUAGCGUUGCUCGGAAUCACUGGGCGUAAAGCAUCCGUAGCCGGUUCUACAAGUCUUCCGUUAAAUCCACCUGCUUAACAGAUGGGCUGCGGAAGAUACUAUAGAGCUAGGAGGCGGGAGAGGCAAGCGGUACUCGAUGGGUAGGGGUAAAAUCCGUUGAUCCAUUGAAGACCACCAGUGGCGAAGGCGGCUUGCCAGAACGCGCUCGACGGUGAGGGAUGAAAGCUGGGGGAGCAAACCGG